GCGGCGGACGGGUGAGUAAGGCGUAGGCAACCUGCCCUAAAGUGGGGGAUAGCCUGGAGAAAUUCGGGUUAAUACCGCGUAAGCUAGACAAGUGAAUAUUGUUUAGUAAAGGCUUCGGCCGCUUUGGGAUGGGCCUACGUGUGAUUAGUUAGUUGGUGAGGUAACGGCUCACCAAGACCACGAUCACUAGCUGGUCUGAGAGGAUGAUCAGCCACACUGGAACUGAGACACGGUCCAGACUCCUACGGGAGGCAGCAGUGAGGAAUUUUGCGCAAUGGGGGAAACCCUGACGCAGCGACGCCGCGUGGAGGAUGAAGUCUUUCGAGAUGUAAACUCCUGUCAGUAGGGAUGAUUAUGACAGUACCUACAGAGGAAGCACCGGCUAACUCCGUGCCAGCAGCCGCGGUAAUACGGAGGGUGCAAGCGUUGUUCGGAAUUACUGGGCGUAAAGCGUACGUAGGCGGUGAGUUAAGUCGAAUGUUAAAGCCCGGGGCUCAACCCCGUGGAUGCAUUCGAUACUGGCUCGCUAGAGGGUGAUAGAGGAAAGCGGAAUUCCGAGUGUAGCGGUGAAAUGCGUAGAUAUUCGGAGGAACAUCAGUAGCGAAGGCGGCUUUCUGGGUCACACCUGACGCUGAGGUACGAAAGCGUGGGGAGCGAACGGGAUUAGAUACCCCGGUAGUCCACGCCGUAAACGAUGGAUGCUAGGUGUAGCGGGUAUCGACCCCUGCUGUGCCGUAGUUAACGCGUUAAGCAUCCCGCCUGGGGAGUACGUUCGCAAGAAUGAAACUCAAAGGAAUUGACGGGGGCCCGCACAAGCGGUGGAGGAUGUGGUUUAAUUCGACGCAACGCGAAGAACCUUACCAGGGCUUGACAUCCGGCGAAUUUCUGCGAAAGCGGAAAGUGCCUUCGGGAACGCCGAGACA
Molecule: ribosomal RNA, 923 nt
Filed under: uncultured bacterium
Lineage: Bacteria
Description: bacterial SSU rRNA
Rfam family: Bacterial small subunit ribosomal RNA
Source: RNAcentral